GUCCCUACGGGGCGCAGCAGUGAGGAAUAUUGGUCAAUGGGCGGGAGCCUGAACCAGCCAAGUCGCGUGAGUGAAGAAGGCCUUCGGGUCGUAAAGCUCUGUUGCGGGGGAAAAAAGGCAGCAUCAGGAAAUGGGUGCUGACUGAUGGUGCCCCGCCAGAAAGUCACGGCUAACUACGUGCCAGCAGCCGCGGUAAUACGUAGGUGGCGAGCGUUAUCCGGAAUGAUUGGGCGUAAAGGGUGCGCAGGCGGUCCUGCAAGUCUGGAGUGAAACGCAUGAGCUCAACUCAUGCAUGGCUUUGGAAA
Molecule: ribosomal RNA, 305 nt
Filed under: uncultured bacterium
Lineage: Bacteria
Description: bacterial SSU rRNA
Rfam family: Bacterial small subunit ribosomal RNA
Source: RNAcentral